Molecule: long non-coding RNA, 841 nt
Organism: Suricata suricatta (meerkat)
Lineage: Eukaryota; Metazoa; Chordata; Mammalia; Carnivora; Herpestidae
Exons: 2
Source: RefSeq, a predicted model, not a curated record
CUGGCGUCAAAGUCCCUGUGACAAGGCUGGAGAACGCAGGCCAGACCCACAGAACCGCAGUUUUCGGGCCUUGGGCUCAGGCAGACCAUGGAAGGAAUUUGCUGGACCUGUUCUCGGCAGCGUGGUCUGGGCGGGCAGGACAAGGCGGCUUUGUUCCUGACUUCGGGACCUAAUCCAACCGGCUGGAAAUCGUGUUUCUUUUCCCAGGUCAGGCACCUCCCCUCUGCUCCCCGAGAAGGUCGCCUCCCCAAGACCUGAUAAGACUCUGUGACAUCAUGUCGCAUCGGGGCCCAGCCUGCCUCCCAGGAGCCUCCCCCAGGAGCAGGUGUCCCGGCGGAGUCUGCCUGCCACCCUGACCCGGGUCUGCUGCCCAGUGGCCCUUAGGGCUUAGCACUUGAAGCUGUCUUCGUGGUUUUUCCAGUGACGUUGGCCAUUAGCCACUGUGUCUCUUCCCGGCUGCAGCUGGUCCUGGGCUGCGUGCUGCAGGCCUGCCGGUCAUACCCAGGGAGAUUCGCAAAAAGACGGCACCAGCAUUUGUGUGCUGGCCUGUGUGAAAACAAAGACCCUUUCAAAGAGUGACCAAGAGUUACCACCGGUGCCUGGAAGGAAGGCGUCAAGCAGAGAGUGGGGAGCUGGUGUGCGGGCUCCCUGGCCAGCUCAGGCCCGGCCCCCAGGUGAGCCCGGGGCAGAGGCAGCCACACAGCACGUCCUGCGUGUGGACUGGAAACCUGAGGCAGAGUCCUCUCACUCGUGUUGUUCAGCUGCGUGGAGCAUCAGGUCUGGGGUUGUUCUUGUUGAUUCAUGUCAACUCCCCACCCCAAUUAAAGGUGUGUGGAAGCAA